This 424-nucleotide ribosomal RNA is filed under the name uncultured bacterium. RNAcentral's name for it is "bacterial SSU rRNA". It matches the Rfam family "Bacterial small subunit ribosomal RNA", at positions 355 to 776 of the family's 1533-position model. The record is from RNAcentral.
UGGGGAAUAUUGGUCAAUGGGCGAAAGCCUGAACCAGCAAUGCCGCGUGAGUGAUGAAGGCCUUCGGGUUGUAAAGCUCUGUCAGCGGGAACGAAUAAGCCGGUUAAUACCCGGUGGUGACGGUACCCGCAAAGGAAGCACCGGCUAACUCUGUGCCAGCAGCCGCGGUAAUACAGAGGGUGCAAGCGUUGUUCGGAAUUACUGGGCGUAAAGCGCGUGUAGGCGGUCUAGCAAGUCGGUCGUGAAAUCCCUUGGCUUAACCAAGGAACUGCGUUCGAAACUACUAGGCUCGAGUGUCGGAGGGGAUGGCGGAAUUCCCGGUGUAGAGGUGAAAUUCGUAGAUAUCGGGAGGAACACCUGUGGCGAAGGCGGCCAUCUGGAAGAUUACUGACGCUGAGACGCGAAAGCGUGGGGAGCAAACAGG